ACACUUGCAUGCCUAGUACGGCGAGUGAGCGGCAACAGCUCAAUUUGAAAGCUAGCCUUCGGGUUCGCAUUGUAAUUUGUAGAGGAUGCUUUGGGUAAAACGCCAGUCUAAGUUCCUUGGAACAGGACGUCAUAGAGGGUGAGAAUCCCGUAUGUGACUGGAAAUGUUAACCUAUGUAAAGCUCCUUCGACGAGUCGAGUUGUUUGGGAAUGCAGCUCUAAAUGGGAGGUAAAUUUCUUCUAAAGCUAAAUAUUGGCGAGAGACCGAUAGCGCACAAGUAGAGUGAUCGAAAGAUGAAAAGCACUUUGGAAAGAGAGUUAAAAAGCACGUGAAAUUGUUGAAAGGGAAGCGCUUGCAAUCAGACUUGUUUAAACUGUUCGGCCGGUCUUCUGACCGGUUUACUCAGUUUGGACAGGCCAGCAUCAGUUUCGGCGGCCGGAUAAAGGCUCUGGGAAUGUGGCCUCCACUUCGGUGGAGGUGUUAUAGCCCAGUGUGUAAUACGGCCAGCCGGGACUGAGGUCCGCGCUUCGGCUAGGAUGCUGGCGUAAUGGUUGUAAGCGACCCGUCUUGAA
RNAcentral lists this ribosomal RNA (572 nucleotides) under Aureobasidium namibiae. RNAcentral's name for it is "eukaryotic LSU rRNA". It matches the Rfam family "Eukaryotic large subunit ribosomal RNA", at positions 66 to 658 of the family's 3401-position model. Lineage: Eukaryota; Fungi; Ascomycota; Dothideomycetes; Dothideales; Saccotheciaceae. The record is from RNAcentral.